UACGGAGGGUGCAAGCGUUAUCCGGAUUCACUGGGUUUAAAGGGUGCGUAGGCGGGUAGGUAAGUCCGUGGUGAAAUCUCUGAGCUUAACUCAGAAACUGCCGUGGAUACUAUUUGCCUUGAAUAUUGUGGAGGUGAGCGGAAUAUGUCAUGUAGCGGUGAAAAUGCUUAGAUAUGACAUAGAACACCAAAUUGCGAAGGCAGCUCACUACACAAUGAUUGACGUGAGGCACGAAAAGCGUGGGGGAUCAAAACAGGG
RNAcentral lists this ribosomal RNA (258 nucleotides) under uncultured bacterium. RNAcentral describes it as "partial 16S ribosomal RNA". It matches the Rfam family "Bacterial small subunit ribosomal RNA", at positions 524 to 777 of the family's 1533-position model. The record is from RNAcentral.